ACAGCUUGAACCGGCCCACUUCUCAGCCGGUCCCGGUCCCAAAUGGUCCCGGUCUCGCGGGCCUCGCCUAUGAGACCGGCCCACUAUCCGGCCCAUCACCCCACGAUCCCGAUCCUAUCCGGACCGUUUAGGCCCACCGCCCAUGUGGAUUGCGGUGCUAGGCCGGUCCCGGUCCCGCGUUUUGAGAUUCUUGCGGAAGUCUUUGAAAAUCACAAUUGGAUAAUCCAAUCCAAUACGAUAUCCAUAUAUAUUUCUACUAUCCUACGCCUGUGUGUUUACUGUUCUCACCAAUAUAAUUAAACUUGCGCUCACUGCGCACUUUAUCAUUAACCACUGCUCAGCGGCCGGCAACGAGCUUCCAUACUUGCUGAAAGCAUUUAUUUUAAGCUUUGUGAAUUCCGACGUCUGCGAGGUGAUUGAUCAAUUCUAGAAACUUCCGUAAAAAUUUAAGCUUUUUGAGUUUUGAUUUUCUCUUUUUAUUUUUAAUUUUCUAAGUGAUGAUUGUGGUAAAUUUUUGUUAGAUUUAGAAAUGGGGAAGAAACAAGUGAUGUUACCGGCGAGUGAAGUUGACUUGACAGCGGUGAAGUACAUACCGGAAAAUAUUCAAGGUUUAUUUUCCAUGUGAUAUUAUACUAGUACUAGUAUUUGAUUGCCCUUUUUCUUUUUGAUUAUAAUGUGCAUUAUUUUUUAAUUCAAUUGCAGCUCCACAUUUGACUGGUGUCUGAUAGGAGCAAACCAGUUGUGGUAUGUGAAAGAAAGAAAAGUAGAUAAAACAAAAGAAAGAAAAGUCAAAAAGAAAUGAAAAUAUGAUGUAAGUGCUUACAUUGGUAUUCUUAUGAUGUAUGCGCUUAUAUCGGCAUUCUUAUGAUGUAAGCGCUUACGUCGGCAGAGUAUUCAAAUGCCUAUAAAUGGGGUAUGCAUUUUCAUUUGCAAAUCAUCCCUCAACUUCUUCUUUCUCUCUUCAAUUAAUAAAGAGUUAUUCUUUGUAUGGCCGUGGAAUAGGCAAAAAUUGCCGAACCACGUAAAUAUUCUCUUGUCUUGUCUUGUGCAAUUUAUUGAUUCUCUUUUAAAUAUUUUUUUCCCUUCUAUUAGCCUGACACGUUUCCCAACAACUGGUAUCAGAGCACAGACAAUAUAAUUCUGGUAGAAAAGUACGGUAUCGGUGCAAGUACUAUUCACAAGAAUAGUACGACACUAUUGAUCAUCAUUACUAUUCACAUGCACUAUUCACAUAAAUUUUCUUGAGAAAAAUGGCAUAGGAAGAAGGGAAGCGGAAGAAGGGAAAGUUAAGAUUGACAAGUUCAAUGGCAAAAAUUUUGGAUUCUGGAAAAUGCAAAUAGAGGAUUAUUUGUACCAGAAAAAAUUAC
RNAcentral lists this long non-coding RNA (1367 nucleotides) under Nicotiana tabacum (common tobacco). RNAcentral describes it as "long non-coding RNA (NTAB_LNC017519)". Lineage: Eukaryota; Viridiplantae; Streptophyta; Magnoliopsida; Solanales; Solanaceae. The record is from RNAcentral.